UACCAGGUCUUGACAUCCCCUGACAACCCAAGAGAUUGGGCGUUCCCCCUUCGGGGGGACAGGGUGACAGGUGGUGCAUGGUUGUCGUCAGCUCGUGUCGUGAGAUGUUGGGUUAAGUCCCGCAACGAGCGCAACCCUCGCCUCUAGUUGCCAGCAUUCAGUUGGGCACUCUAGAGGGACUGCCGGCGACAAGUCGGAGGAAGGUGGGGAUGACGUCAAAUCAUCAUGCCCCUUAUGACCUGGGCUACACACGUGCUACAAUGGGCGGUACAAAGGGCUGCGAACCCGCGAGGGGGAGCGAAUCCCAAAAAGCCGCUCUCAGUUCGGAUUGCAGGCUGCAACUCGCCUGCAUGAAGCCGGAAUCGCUAGUAAUCGCGGAUCAGCAUGCCGCGGUGAAUACGUUCCCGGGCCUUGUACACACCGCCCGUCACACCACGAGAGCUUGCAACACCCGAAGUCGGUGAGGUAACCCGCAAGGGAGCCAGCCGCCGAAGGUGGGGCAAGUGAUUGGGGUGAAGUCGUAACAAGGUAAAUACACU
This 539-nucleotide ribosomal RNA is filed under the name Geobacillus sp. SB31. Its description in RNAcentral is "bacterial SSU rRNA". It matches the Rfam family "Bacterial small subunit ribosomal RNA", at positions 972 to 1506 of the family's 1533-position model. The record is from RNAcentral. Lineage: Bacteria; Bacillati; Bacillota; Bacilli; Caryophanales; Anoxybacillaceae.